Apus apus (common swift) is the source of this 294-nucleotide non-coding RNA. RefSeq annotates it as small Cajal body-specific RNA 7. The record is from RefSeq and is a predicted model, not a curated record. Lineage: Eukaryota; Metazoa; Chordata; Aves; Apodiformes; Apodidae. The transcript has a single exon.
UGGAAAUGAUGAAAUAGAGAUAAUUGGAUGUAAGUUGGAAUGAGGUGUGUGUGGUAAAUGGAAUGGGGGUGGUGGGGAGUGUGUGUGUGUGUGCAUGUUAGAAAGGCUUGGAAUGGGGGCACUGAUGUGCAGUGCUGACCUCCGGAGUGCAUCUGAGGUGUGUUGGGAGCUCUGGGCUGUCACCUGCCAACAUCACCGAUGAUUAGAGCCCAAAACAAGCCCACCAAGACAAGCCUAGGCAUCCUAAAUCUCUGACAGGGUCAGUCAUGAACAUGAUCCUGUGAUCUGAUCUGA